CAAUAGCUCACCUCUGUUUCAUCUCAGAAUUUCAUUUUAAUAGCUUCAAGUCCUUCUUGCUCUUCUUGCCUUGCUCCCCAAAGCCAUGUCUCUUACACCAGUGAUGUUUAGGUCACUGAUGAGGCUACUAACAUCUCUAAUUGGAGAGCCAGCUGCUUCAGUCUCAACCUUGCUUUACUACAGUGAGCUUCUGCCUCAGAAUAUCAUCUUGGAAAGAUUAGUUCGACAUGAAUUGCUCGAUCGAGAAAACUAUUUGUUCCAUUUCCUCAUCAACUUCUUGAGAUGUUUUUGGUAGGUAGGAACCAACAACCAUAUAGACAACAAUAGACUCAGUAUUUCCCAUAGCAGAGUCGACUUUAUUUCUUAUGCAUUUUUGUAAACCAUUAUUUCUUGGUGGCUGACUGGUGAGAGUUUAAAUUGUAAAAUCUGUGAUUUGUGAUCAUAAUGAGAUAUAUUUCACAGUUUUUUUU
Prunus dulcis (almond) is the source of this 470-nucleotide long non-coding RNA. RefSeq lists it as uncharacterized. The record is from RefSeq and is a predicted model, not a curated record. Lineage: Eukaryota; Viridiplantae; Streptophyta; Magnoliopsida; Rosales; Rosaceae. The transcript has 2 exons.